This 253-nucleotide ribosomal RNA is filed under the name uncultured bacterium. RNAcentral describes it as "partial 16S ribosomal RNA". It matches the Rfam family "Bacterial small subunit ribosomal RNA", at positions 524 to 776 of the family's 1533-position model. The record is from RNAcentral.
UACGAAGGGGGCAAGCGUUGUUCGGAAUCACUGGGCGUAAAGCGCGCGUAGGCGGAUCAAUAAGUCAGGGGUGAAAGCCCGAGGCUCAACCUCGGAACUGCCUUUGAUACUGUUGAUCUGGAGUCCGGGAGAGGUGAGUGGAACUCCUAGUGUAGAGGUGAAAUUCGUAGAUAUUAGGAAGAACACCAGUGGCGAAGGCGGCUCACUGGCCCGGUACUGACGCUGAUGUGCGAAAGCGUGGGGAGCAAACAGG